Transfer RNA from Neotoma lepida (desert woodrat), 72 nucleotides. It matches the Rfam family "tRNA". From Rfam's summary of the family: Transfer RNA (tRNA) molecules are approximately 80 nucleotides in length. Their secondary structure includes four short double-helical elements and three loops (D, anti-codon, and T loops). The record is from Rfam. NCBI's taxonomy places the organism in Eukaryota, Metazoa, Chordata, Mammalia, Rodentia, Cricetidae.
AGGAGUGUAGCUCAGUGGUACAGCACUUGCUUAGCAUGCAUGAGGCCUUGGAUUCAAUCCCUAACACCACAA